Long non-coding RNA from Lucilia cuprina (Australian sheep blowfly), 3872 nucleotides. RefSeq lists it as uncharacterized. The transcript has 3 exons. NCBI's taxonomy places the organism in Eukaryota, Metazoa, Arthropoda, Insecta, Diptera, Calliphoridae. The record is from RefSeq and is a predicted model, not a curated record.
CUCCAAAUUGUUAAGAUUUGCAAUUUAAACAAGUGUUUUAUAUUAUUAUUGUUUCAUCUGUUCUUAAAAAGAUAUCUUUUAUAUAUUGUUUUACAUUUAAAAAUCAUUAAAUUGUUUAAAUAAAAACAAUAAAAAAUCAUAUUAAAACAGAACAUGUAUACAGAUUUACAAUUGAAAGUGUUUAAAGAUCAAUCGAUCGAUCGAGUACUGGUGCUGAAUGUGUAACACACCGACCGCUACACACACGUAUAUAAUUAAAUUUUUUAAAACAGGGUGCUAAAGUAAAUUUACACCUAAUUAAAGUUUAUUUUUAAAGUAGUGAAACUGUUACUGAACUAGUUCCGUAACUGGUACAUAGGGAACCAGUUUCACGUGAAUGUUAUUUUAAAACCUUGAAAGGUGUUGACAGAAAUUAUAAUAUUUUCAAAACUGAGUUCGAUUAUUGAAUGGUCCCAGCAGGCUUCCAGAACCUCCCACUGAUGUCCCUUUGGUUUCGUAUGCAGAUUACUACACUGUUAUUUCAUCAAACGUCAACACGAUUACAUAAGCUUCAAAAUUACCCAAAAGACUUUUUUCUGAACUUAGGUUAGCUGCUUCAAAAUCAUCGGUAUCACUUUUCACCUCUUGGACCAAAGAUGUUUUGACGGUGCUUAAAGUCUCCGAAGAAGGGGGCAAGCAAGUAACAUAAACCAAAACGUUCGAAACAGAAAUAUGGUCAUUAAAACUCUUGCUGGUAUCUCUUGGUGUAUGGAUAAGGAAACUAUUGUAGCGACAUGGUCGCACUUUUCUCAAUUAUGCUACCCCAAAUAUGUAUCUCUUUUCUUAGUGAUACACAAUGGCGAGGUUUACAAACGAUUCAUUAUAAUGCACUUCGAAUCACAACCUGAUGCGUCAAGAUAAUGAAUGUGGAUCUCUUACAUGAGGAGUUAUGCCUAGUCAAUCCAACCAUAAGAUUCUGAUGAAGGAUCUCCCUUCCAGACACUUUUGCUGCGACAUCUAGGUAUUCAAGCUGCAAAAACGCACACUUGGGUCUUGUUGAUCCCUUUGUGAUACCUCUAAAGAUAAUAGAGAUAGAAAAGAAAGAAAAGGGAUAGUUUUAAGGUUUAGCCAUAAGAGAGGUGUAGAGUAAGUAAGAAUGAAAUACUGAGAGUAACGAAGAAUUGAGAUAGAAGUAGAGGAGAUGAUAGAAAGGUUUGUCCUUGUGGACUUAUAAGUGCCUUUGUCAAGUAUGGCUUGGUGGUCGUAAAAAUCAAUGAAUGUGCCUGAUAAAUGCAUUAUUAUCCUUUCUUAGGAUGGAUAGUUCUGACAAAUCGCCAAAUAUUCGCUUUCCUAGAUAUAUGAAUCGAAUGUCUGCUAGCGCAGGGCAUUGACAGAGAAGAUGUUCGAUAGAUUCUUCCUCUUCCUCGUCUCGUCAACUUCUACAGAAGUCGUUGUUCGGUAUACCAAGUUUUCUUGUAUGCGCUAUGUCCCGUAAUGACAGCGAAAAGAUUUCUGAUGUGAGAACGGUUUAGUUGCAGAAGAUAUUACAGUCCAAACUUGGAUCUAUCUUCCUGGUGUUGAUACAAGUUGGUUCAUUACGCCAUCUUGUCUGGGAGAGUUUAAAGAUCAUUUAUUUGAUUUUCGCAAGCUUUAGCGGUAUGCCGCAAAAGAUGUCUAUGUCAAAUCUCCGUAUUGAUUUGAGCACGAUUUUGAAUGUCUCGGCAUUCUGUUUAAGGAUGCCCGACAUUCCUGGACUAGUUUGGAUGUAGUAUAUACACCAAUUAGGGAUUUGGUAGCUGCUUGGCUAUCGGUACAAAUUUAAAUAUCUCUGUUUGAUAUUCUGUAAUACCAAAGACAAUUUGCUGCUGUUUUUAUGACUAAUAGUUCAGACUGUAGUGGACUCCAAUUAUAAAGUCUGAGGCCAGUGCUAAGUCUUCCAGAUAAUCCAAUUUGCUGCUCUUUUUAUGACUAAUAGUUCAGACUCUGGUGGACUCCAAUUAUUAAGUCUGAGGGCAGUGCUAAGUCUUCCAGAUAAGUAAGUCUUCCAAAUUAGCAAUGCGAAUAGAUAUUUGGUGGAUGUUGUUCUCAGCGCUUCUGUUAUGAGGAUUGCUAUCCUAUUUAGAACCUUGUCAAGAAGUUGGAGUUUUUGUCAAGUGCAUUCAAUCAGACAACCGCUCCGUAAAAGAGAAUAGGUUCAAUAACCACUUCAUGGAUCUAGUUUACCAAUUUGGGGUUUAGUCCCAAUCUCUUGCCAAUAGCCUUACUGCGACAUCUAAAACGUCAUAACACAGGUCGAUAUAUUGUCAAUUGUUAGCUCCAGGGAAAUGUUGCAAUAAAUGGCGGUUACUGAAAUCAUUAAUGGCUAUAGAUGCAACAAGGUCCCAAACGAACUCUUUUUUAAAGGCUAUUAGGUAUUACUAGCAUAAUCUUAAUCGCAUUUUUAGAUGCGAUUAAAAUGUCGUUUGUAAAGUAUGACAUCAAUUAUUUUUUGCUGGGGUAUAAUGUUUUAAUUUAAAAAUCUGUUAUUAUGUAUUUCGAUUCGCAAGAAAACUAUUAUGAAUGAAUUUCCAUAUAUAAAUAAUUGAUUAAAGUUUUUAUUAAUCGGAUUUACAAUCUGCACAAAAGUUAUACAUAGAUUAUUUAUCAGUAAAUACCAUUUUUAUAGACGUAUUGUUUCCUCUUAGACUUCACUCUUAAGAAAUUCUUAUCUAAUACACACACAACACAAAUGUAAAUAUAAAUUAAUAAAAACUACGUUAGAUAUUUAUGUCAUAAAACUUUUAAUAGUUUUAACUAGAAUUUCGAAACAGUAUUCCUAAAUGUUCUCUGAAAUACAUUGACAGAUGAUGAAAAUAAUACAAGCUGCAAACGGCGUCAAGAACUUGGAUUUAAAAACUAUAAACAAAUGUACAAAAUAUUUGUUUACAGUUUAUAUUUGACAGUUAAGCUCUUUUUGCCUUCAACUUAUAACCCAUUUUCAGACGUAGACAGUUUACUACUUACCUUUAAUGAUGUUUGUUUUUAUUGAUUGUUGUUUUUAUUGCUCCAUUCAGCACAAUAAUGUCAAGUACUCCAAAAAUGCCGCGUAAGCAACCAAAUUUUUGUUUGGGGCAACACACAUUCAAUUAAGUCCACUGUAAGAGAACAAAAAUACGCAAAGAAAUGCAAGCAAAAAAAUUAAAACAACAUGAGAGAAGAAAAGAAGGCAGCAAUUUUAAUGAUAAUAAUUGGACAAAAAUUCAGGAGCAAAAAACUACCUGAACUUAUUCGCAGACGUAUUUUAAGUUUAUUAUAUUCAUAAACAUUGGAGACUUUCCUUUGGUUUUUAGAAUUUAACAGAUUUUUUUGCCAAAAUUUAGCAAAUUUUUUACAAAAUCUAUGAAUAACUUAUAAAGUUUAAACUUUUUUAAAUUUCUUGUGUUGAAAAUAACAUCUUCCAUUUAAUGACCCUGUAAACUAAUUAAUUUGUAUAAAUUUUUAACAAGUUUCCUGAGAUACUUCAUCAUCAAAGUAAAAGAUAUAAUUGAUAAAGAUAUAAUUGAUUUUUAAUGUAAUUGCAAAGCGUAAGUAAAAAAAAGAAGAGAAAAUAAAAUAUUUUUAUUUCUUAUUGAUAACUAUUUUCCUCUUACUGGAAAUUAUUGUUAUCAUACACCAUUCAUAUGUUCAAUGUCAAGACGAACUACUUACUACUCCUAUUAACCAAAAAGAAGACCAACGACAACAACAUAAUUAAAACAAAAGACGACUUCAUUUUGAGUAUAAAUUGCAUCAGCAAAAAAAAAACUUUUAAAAAGAAACACAACUUUAUUUUAUAUAUUUUUUUAAAUGUAUACAAUAAUAAAUAUACAAUGAUAAUGAAAUAAAAUGAUGUUGGGUAUUUUUUCUUUAGAAAA